Molecule: transfer RNA, 69 nt
Filed under: Harengula jaguana (scaled sardine)
Lineage: Eukaryota; Metazoa; Chordata; Actinopteri; Clupeiformes; Clupeidae
Also listed under: 1 other name
Description: tRNA-Asp
Rfam family: tRNA
About the family: Transfer RNA (tRNA) molecules are approximately 80 nucleotides in length. Their secondary structure includes four short double-helical elements and three loops (D, anti-codon, and T loops). Further hydrogen bonds mediate the characteristic L-shaped molecular structure. tRNAs have two regions of fundamental functional importance: the anti-codon, which is responsible for specific mRNA codon recognition, and the 3' end, to which the tRNAs corresponding amino acid is attached (by aminoacyl-tRNA synthetases). tRNAs cope with the degeneracy of the genetic code in two manners: having more than one tRNA (with a specific anti-codon) for a particular amino acid; and 'wobble' base-pairing, i.e. permitting non-standard base-pairing at the 3rd anti-codon position.
Source: RNAcentral
AAGGCACUAGUAAAAUCAUUAUCCUGCCUUGUCAAGGCAAAGUUGUGGGUUAGACCCCCGCGUGCCUUA